AAGUGCGAAUGCUGACAUAAGUAACGAUAAAACGGGUGAAAAACCCGUUCGCCGGAAGACCAAGGGUUCCUGUCCAACGUUAAUCGGGGCAGGGUGAGUCGGCUCCUAAGGCGAGGCUGAAAAGCGUAGUCGAUGGGAAACAGGUUAAUAUUCCUGUACUUGGUAAAGCUGCGAUGUGGGGACGGAGUAGGUUAGGUUAUCGCACUGUUGGAUAUGUGCGUUUAAGUUGGUAGGUGGGAAGUUUAGGCAAAUCCGGACUUCCUUAACACAGAGAGAUGAUGACGAGGCUCUACGGAGCUGAAGUAACUGAUACCACACUUCCAGGAAAAGCCACUAAGCGAAAGGCUUUACUAAACCGUACUGAAAACCGACACAGGUGGUCAGGUAGAGAAUACUCAGGCGCUUGAGAGAACUCGGGUGAAGGAACUAGGCAAAAUAGCACCGUAACUUCGGGAGAAGGUGCGCCGGCGUAGAUUGUAAGGGCUAGCCCCUGAAGGUUGAACCGGUCGAAGAUACCAGCUGGCUGCAACUGUUUAUUAAAAACACAGCACUCUGCAAACACGAAAGUGGACGUAUAGGGUGUGAUGCCUGCCCGGUGCUGGAAGGUUAAUUGAUGGUGUAAUCGAAAGAGAAGCACCUGAUCGAAGCCCCAGUAAACGGCGGCCGUAACUAUAACGGUCCUAAGGUAGCGAAAUUCCUUGUCGGGUAAGUUCCGACCUGCACGAAUGGCAUAAUGAUGGCCAGGCUGUCUCCACCCGAGACUCAGUGAAAUUGAAAUCGCCGUGAAGAUGCGGUGUACCCGCGGCUAGACGGAAAGACCCCGUGAACCUUUACUAUAGCUUGACACUGAACAUUGAAUUUUGAUGUGUAGGAUAGGUGGGAGCCUUUGAAGCAGUGACGCCAGUCAUUGUGGAGGCGACCUUGAAAUACCACCCUUUAACGUUUGAUGUUCUAACGAAGAUGACGAAACGUGGUCUCGGACAGUGUCUGGUGGGUAGUUUGACUGGGGCGGUCUCCUCCCAAAGCGUAACGGAGGAGCACGAAGGUUUGCUAAUCACGGUCGGACAUCGUGAGGUUAGUGCAAUGGUAUAAGCAAGCUUAACUGCGAGACAGACAAGUCGAGCAGGUACGAAAGUAGGUCAUAGUGAUCCGGUGGUUCUGAAUGGAAGGGCCAUCGCUCAACGGAUAAAAGGUACUCCGGGGAUAACAGGCUGAUACCGCCCAAGAGUUCAUAUCGACGGCGGUGUUUGGCACCUCGAUGUCGGCUCAUCACAUCCUGGGGCUGAAGUAGGUCCCAAGGGUAUGGCUGUUCGCCAUUUAAAGUGGUACGCGAGCUGGGUUUAGAACGUCGUGAGACAGUUCGGUCCCUAUCUGCCGUGGGCGUAGGAGAAUUGGUUGGGGCUGCUCCUAGUACGAGAGGACCGGAGUGGACGCACCACUGGUGUUCCGGUUGUGUCGCCAGACGCAUUGCCGGGUAGCUAAGUGCGGAAGAGAUAAGUGCUGAAAGCAUCUAAGCACGAAACUUGCCAAGAGAUGAGUUCUCCCAAUCUAAGAGAUUGUAAGGGUUGUUGUAGACUACGACGUAGAUAGGUCUGGUGUGUAAGUGUAGUGAUGCAUUGAGCUAACAGAUACUAAUUGCCCGAGAGGCUUAACUAU
This 1656-nucleotide ribosomal RNA is filed under the name Haemophilus influenzae. RNAcentral's name for it is "bacterial LSU rRNA". It matches the Rfam family "Bacterial large subunit ribosomal RNA", at positions 1286 to 2925 of the family's 2925-position model. Lineage: Bacteria; Pseudomonadati; Pseudomonadota; Gammaproteobacteria; Pasteurellales; Pasteurellaceae. The record is from RNAcentral.